UACGGAGGGAGCUAGCGUUGUUCGGAAUUACUGGGCGUAAAGCGCGCGUAGGCGGCUUUGUAAGUCAGAGGUGAAAGCCUGGAGCUCAACUCCAGAACUGCCUUUGAGACUGCAUCGCUUGAAUCCAGGAGAGGUGAGUGGAAUUCCGAGUGUAGAGGUGAAAUUCGUAGAUAUUCGGAAGAACACCAGUGGCGAAGGCGGCUCACUGGACUGGUAUUGACGCUGAGGUGCGAAAGCGUGGGGAGCAAACAGG
Molecule: ribosomal RNA, 253 nt
Filed under: uncultured bacterium
Lineage: Bacteria
Description: partial 16S ribosomal RNA
Rfam family: Bacterial small subunit ribosomal RNA
Source: RNAcentral